Ribosomal RNA from Callithrix jacchus (white-tufted-ear marmoset), 109 nucleotides. NCBI's taxonomy places the organism in Eukaryota, Metazoa, Chordata, Mammalia, Primates, Cebidae. The record is from Ensembl.
GUCUACGGCCAUACCACCCUGAACGCACCUGAUCUCGGAAGCUAAGCAGGCUCGGGCCUGGUUAAUACUUGGAUGGGAGACUGCCUGGGAAUACUGGGUGCUGUAGGUU